Molecule: ribosomal RNA, 1326 nt
Filed under: Triticum aestivum (bread wheat)
Lineage: Eukaryota; Viridiplantae; Streptophyta; Magnoliopsida; Poales; Poaceae
Description: partial small subunit ribosomal RNA
Source: RNAcentral
AUGGGUGGGCAUGAGCCUGGUAGAACGCCUCAAUGGGGUUCUAACAAUGGUCAUAACUACCCGGGAGGUAUGCAUUGUCAGAACCCACAGUACCAUCUUGAUGGUGUAUAUUCUGAGCAGACUGCAUCAAGAGGUGGCAUGGAUACUGGCUGGAACCAAAUGUCAGGCGGCGGUACAGGUCAGGCACCUUAUCAGGGUGGUUGUUACGAAUAUCACGCCUCUUACAACACAUACUCAGCUAGAGGUCCUCCCAGUGUCGUUCAAGCUCCAAUGUACGACUCGGCUAGAGGUCCUACUGGUGCUCAAGCUCCAAUAAACUACCGCAACUGGAGCCCGCAAGUACCCGUUGGUUAUACUAGCAGUUACCAACACUCUGCCCCGGGCCAACUUACAUAUGUGCAAUGGUAUAAUGGGCAGUGCCACGGGCAGCAGUCAAUGAAUUUUCAGCAAGCAUACCAGUCUUACCCUCCACAGCAAGAUCCCUAUGGAAAGUCUGCUUUUGGUGGAGCUCAGCAAGGCUAUGGUAUUCCUAUGCCAGGCACAAACCACCAAGGAUCAGCUCCAGCCCAGCAGCCAUAUGCAUUACAGAGCUCAACCGUGCCACCUCAACCAGGACUUUGUUAUGGUCAGCCCUAUGGUGCAACUGCUGGUGCUACUCAUGGGUACGUGCAGUCUUCAAGUGGUCAUCAGCAGCCAGCGAGCCAGGUCACUUCGGUCUACACCCAGCAAGUGACGCAGUAUCCAUCGACUCAGCCAGGUUACAUUGAUCAGGCGUUUGCUAACAAUGCGAACUAUCAUCAACAGCCAGCCAUUCAUGUUGCAUCGGCUUACCCGCAGCAAGGAAUGCAGCCCGGUGUCUAUUGCCAGUAUCCAUCUACUCAGCCUGCGUAUACUGAUCAUGUGGUUGCUAACAAUGCAAACUAUCAACAGCCAGCGAGUCAUGUCGCUUUGGCCUACCCACAGCAAGGAAUGCUGCCUGCCGUCUAUGGGCAGUAUCCAUCGACUCAGCCAGCGUAUACCAAUCAGGCAGUUGCUAACAAUGCAAACUAUCAGCGGCCAGCGAGCCAUGGCGGUCCAGGCUACCCGCAGCAAGGAACGCAGCCUGCUGUAUAUGGGCAGUAUCCAUCGACCCGGCCAGCGUACACAGGUCAGACGGUUGCUAACAAUGCAAACUAUCAGCAACUUGCAAGCCAUGCCGCUGCGGCCUACCCACAGCAAGGGUUGCAUCCCGGAGUUUAUGGGCAGCGUCCAUUGUACACUGGUCAGGCGGUCGCUAACAAUCUGAUGAAUGCAGCCCGGUCCGUCGACCCAGCGGGUGUACACUAA